UCCCGAGUAGCUCAAUGGUAGAGCAGGCGGCUGUUAACCGUCUGGUUGCAGGUUCGAGUCCUGCCUCGGGAGCCA
RNAcentral lists this transfer RNA (75 nucleotides) under Chloroflexota bacterium. RNAcentral's name for it is "Chloroflexi bacterium (cold seep metagenome) tRNA-Asn". It matches the Rfam family "tRNA". Rfam says of the family: Transfer RNA (tRNA) molecules are approximately 80 nucleotides in length. Their secondary structure includes four short double-helical elements and three loops (D, anti-codon, and T loops). Lineage: Bacteria; Bacillati; Chloroflexota. The record is from RNAcentral.